Molecule: ribosomal RNA, 305 nt
Filed under: uncultured bacterium
Lineage: Bacteria
Description: bacterial SSU rRNA
Rfam family: Bacterial small subunit ribosomal RNA
Source: RNAcentral
CCUACGGGGGGCAGCAGUGGGGGAUAUUGCGCAAUGGGGGAAACCCUGACGCAGCAACGCCGCGUGAAGGAUGAAGGUUUUCGGAUUGUAAACUUCUUUUAUUAAGGACGAAAAAAUGACGGUACUUAAUGAAUAAGCUCCGGCUAACUACGUGCCAGCAGCCGCGGUAAUACGUAGGGAGCAAGCGUUGUCCGGAUUUACUGGGUGUAAAGGGUGCGUAGGCGGCUUUGCAAGUCAGAUGUGAAAUCUAUGGGCUCAACCCAUAAACUGCAUUUGAAACUGUAGAGCUUGAGUGAAGUAGAGGC